RNAcentral lists this ribosomal RNA (1571 nucleotides) under Shigella sonnei. RNAcentral describes it as "partial 23S ribosomal RNA". It matches the Rfam family "Bacterial large subunit ribosomal RNA", at positions 1365 to 2915 of the family's 2925-position model. Lineage: Bacteria; Pseudomonadati; Pseudomonadota; Gammaproteobacteria; Enterobacterales; Enterobacteriaceae. The record is from RNAcentral.
UUAAUCGGGGCAGGGUGAGUCGACCCCUAAGGCGAGGCCGAAAGGCGUAGUCGAUGGGAAACAGGUUAAUAUUCCUGUACUUGGUGUUACUGCGAAGGGGGGACGGAGAAGGCUAUGUUGGCCGGGCGACGGUUGUCCCGGUUUAAGCGUGUAGGCUGGUUUUCCAGGCAAAUCCGGAAAAUCAAGGCUGAGGCGUGAUGACGAGGCACUACGGUGCUGAAGCAACAAAUGCCCUGCUUCCAGGAAAAGCCUCUAAGCAUCAGGUAACAUCAAAUCGUACCCCAAACCGACACAGGUGGUCAGGUAGAGAAUACCAAGGCGCUUGAGAGAACUCGGGUGAAGGAACUAGGCAAAAUGGUGCCGUAACUUCGGGAGAAGGCACGCUGAUAUGUAGGUGAAGUCCCUUGCGGAUGGAGCUGAAAUCAGUCGAAGAUACCAGCUGGCUGCAACUGUUUAUUAAAAACACAGCACUGUGCAAACACGAAAGUGGACGUAUACGGUGUGACGCCUGCCCGGUGCCGGAAGGUUAAUUGAUGGGGUCAGCGCAAGCGAAGCUCUUGAUCGAAGCCCCGGUAAACGGCGGCCGUAACUAUAACGGUCCUAAGGUAGCGAAAUUCCUUGUCGGGUAAGUUCCGACCUGCACGAAUGGCGUAAUGAUGGCCAGGCUGUCUCCACCCGAGACUCAGUGAAAUUGAACUCGCUGUGAAGAUGCAGUGUACCCGCGGCAAGACGGAAAGACCCCGUGAACCUUUACUAUAGCUUGACACUGAACAUUGAGCCUUGAUGUGUAGGAUAGGUGGGAGGCUUUGAAGUGUGGACGCCAGUCUGCAUGGAGCCGGCCUUGAAAUACCACCCUUUAAUGUUUGAUGUUCUAACGUGGACCCGUGAUCCGGGUUGCGGACAGUGUCUGGUGGGUAGUUUGACUGGGGCGGUCUCCUCCUAAAGAGUAACGGAGGAGCACGAAGGUUGGCUAAUCCUGGUCGGACAUCAGGAGGUUAGUGCAAUGGCAUAAGCCAGCUUGACUGCGAGCGUGACGGCGCGAGCAGGUGCGAAAGCAGGUCAUAGUGAUCCGGUGGUUCUGAAUGGAAGGGCCAUCGCUCAACGGAUAAAAGGUACUCCGGGGAUAACAGGCUGAUACCGCCCAAGAGUUCAUAUCGACGGCGGUGUUUGGCACCUCGAUGUCGGCUCAUCACAUCCUGGGGCUGAAGUAGGUCCCAAGGGUAUGGCUGUUCGCCAUUUAAAGUGGUACGCGAGCUGGGUUUAGAACGUCGUGAGACAGUUCGGUCCCUAUCUGCCGUGGGCGCUGGAGAACUGAGGGGGGCUGCUCCUAGUACGAGAGGACCGGAGUGGACGCAUCACUGGUGUUCGGGUUGUCAUGCCAAUGGCACUGCCCGGUAGCUAAAUGCGGAAGAGAUAAGUGCUGAAAGCAUCUAAGCACGAAACUUGCCCCGAGAUGAGUUCUCCCUGACCCUUUAAGGGUCCUGAAGGAACGUUGAAGACGACGACGUUGAUAGGCCGGGUGUGUAAGCGCAGCGAUGCGUUGAGCUAACCGGUACUAAUGAACCGUGAGG